GGCCAUUUAAACCUACUUAAAGCUACGGCUACACCAGCGCGUCAUGAACGCGGAAUGCGGGACGCGAUGCGGGAGCGUCCACGACACGAAUUUAUGCGUGCAUACCUACGCUACUGUUGUA
Long non-coding RNA from Maniola jurtina (meadow brown), 121 nucleotides. RefSeq lists it as uncharacterized. The record is from RefSeq and is a predicted model, not a curated record. NCBI's taxonomy places the organism in Eukaryota, Metazoa, Arthropoda, Insecta, Lepidoptera, Nymphalidae. The transcript has 3 exons.